AGUAGGAGGGCGACAUUCUGUGACGGUAUAAAAAUAGGGCGUCUUGCGUUUUCUAAGCAAAGCGUCACAAACAGCCGUAAAAGCAACUCAGUAGAAGUUAUUUAUUCUUCGUUGUACAGUAUUUUGUAUUGCAUAAAUAUCUGAAUAUUUGGAAAAUGCAGAUUUUUGUGAAAACCCUGACUGGCAAGACCAUCACACUUGAGGUUGAACCAUCAGACACCAUUGAGAACGUGAAAG
This is a long non-coding RNA of Anneissia japonica, 237 nucleotides long. RefSeq lists it as uncharacterized. The transcript is spliced from 2 exons. Lineage: Eukaryota; Metazoa; Echinodermata; Crinoidea; Comatulida; Comatulidae. The record is from RefSeq and is a predicted model, not a curated record.